UAAGACCUGCGAAAUACUAAUACACAUCUCCUGAAUGCAACUCAGACACUUUAAUUAAGCUAAGGCCUC
This 69-nucleotide transfer RNA is filed under the name Phymaturus somuncurensis. RNAcentral's name for it is "tRNA-Ala". The record is from RNAcentral. Lineage: Eukaryota; Metazoa; Chordata; Lepidosauria; Squamata.